CCUACGGGAGGCAGCAGUGAGGAAUAUUGGUCAAUGGGCGCGAGCCUGAACCAGCCAAGUCGCGUGAGGGAAGACUGUCCUAUGGAUUGUAAACCUCUUUUGUCGGGGAGCAAAAUACUCCACGCGUGGCGUUCCGUGAGUACCCGAAGAAAAAGCAUCGGCUAACUCCGUGCCAGCAGCCGCGGUAAUACGGAGGAUGCGAGCGUUAUCCGGUUUUAUUGGGUUUAAAGGGUGCGCAGGCGGAAGAUCAAGUCAGCGGGAAAAUUGAGAGGCUAAACCUCUUAGAGCCGUUGAAACUGGUUUUCUUGAGUGAGUGAGAGGUAUGCGGAAUGCGUGGUGUAGCGGUGAAAUGCAUAGAUAUCACGCAGAACUCCGAGUGCGAAGGCAGCAUACCGGCGCUCAACUGACGCUCAUGCACGAAAGUGUGGGUAUCGAACAGGAUUAGAUACCCUGGUAGUC
Molecule: ribosomal RNA, 459 nt
Filed under: uncultured bacterium
Lineage: Bacteria
Description: partial 16S ribosomal RNA
Rfam family: Bacterial small subunit ribosomal RNA
Source: RNAcentral